AGGACAAAAAUUAAUGAGUUCUGUGAGCCAAGUAGACAUUGAGGAGGCUGUUAAUGGUCUUGAAAUUUUCACCCAAGAGGGUGCUUGCUCUGGGGAAGGAGUGCAGUAGAAAGAACCAUCUGAGGAUAGGUACUGAGGGAGCAUUUGUAGCCUAUAAAGCAUUAUUGGUGCCAGGGAAUGGUACAGUUGGAAGUACUUGUGGAAGUGAGCAGGUGUCUCUAAAGGAUGAAAAUAAUUUUUUCACCCCAUGAAAGAGAAUUGGAAUUUGAUUGUCUGCCAUGACAGUGGGUAAUUGACAUAGGAUUAUUUACAUAGGUUACUAUCCCCUAAGUAAACAAGGCCUUUUCUUUUCCUCUCUCCUGCUAGUCAGCUCCAAUUGCCUAGUCAGAGCCAGAUGAAGGAGGUAAACCAAGAAGAUAAAAGAGCAAAGCAGUCUCCUUCCUCUGGUUCUCCAGCCCUGGAGGUCUUUAAUCCUUGAAUCAGUUCUGAAAUGGGAGAGAGGAUAAACUGUUUUUAAAGCUGAAAGUGUUCCCCACUCAAGAUGUGAAGGGGAGGUGAAGAGAAGGCUGACAGAGCCAGUUUGAAGGAGGUGGCAUUAAAAAAAAGAUAUAUACUGAUGUACCCUACCAGAUAUAUCAUUAAAUAAAACAUUAUCCGUGUAUCUAUAUAUCUAUCUUAGCAUUACAUAAUGGUUUUUUAUUUUUAUCUUAAUUUCAUAAUAUUUAUAAAAUGAGUGUGUAUUGUAUUAAAUAUUUAUAAAAGAUUUUUUAACAGAAAAUUUGAAAAAUAAGAAAGUUUUAGAAGAAAAUAAAAAUUACCCACAAUUUACCCAUCUACAUACAACUACUGGUGAUAUUUUAGUAUUUAGUAUUUUUAAUUGUAUUUAUAUUCAUACAGUUAUUUUUCAAACACAAUUGAAAUAACAUUAUUUAUAUAAUUUUGUGUCCUGUUUGUUUAAUGUAGUACUCUUCUGUGGUUUUAAAUUUCUUGGAACAGAGAAGAGAAAUUGUGGUAGAAACAGAGUGCAUUUAACUUAUCAGUAGUGCUGGACAGUAAAUUAGUUCCAACUUGUGAUAUGGAUAGCCCUGUGUAAUAAAUCUUUAUAUGUUUUGAACGCUUCUCCAAUGAUAUCCUUUGUCUAAUCUUUUACUAUUUCCUUCCUUUCUUAAACACUUACUAUGAGCCAUUUACUAUGUAAGAAUCUAGAUUAUAACUGUUAAGAAGAGGUGACCCCGGCUCUCAGAAUCUUACAGUGUAAUGGGGAGAGAGAUUCAUGAAAGAGAAUGUUAGUAUUUUUUAUGUAUGAUGAUAGUGAUAUGAAUGGGGUUUUAUGGGAAAACAGAGAAAAUUUUCCUAAUCCUGCGUGGAUGGGCACAUGGGGAGAGGUAGGCAGGUGGCAAGGCAAAGGAAGUGUGUGGGAUAGGGAUAGAAGAAGGAGAGUGUGAGCACAGCCAGGGGAGUAAAGAACAACAUUGUCUGGGGAUUGGGAGCGGGGAAGAAGAAGAUUAUAAAAGCCUCAUAGUUAAAUGAUAGCUAUAAUAGACCUAUUUUAUGGGGUGCGAUGAGGUUUCAAUGAGAUCAUAUAAAUUGCCCAGCAAGGUGCCUGGAACUUAGUAAGCACUCACAUUUAGCUAAUACUUUCAUUAUUAUUCACCUUUUGAUUGUUACUUCCUACCCUAUAUUUAUAUAUUAAUAGAAUCGGGUCUCGUUCACUCUUGGACCAUUUCUUGUAUGGCUGUGUGGAAACCCCCAUCAUCACAAUGAAGUCAACACCUUAAUAGUUAUCCUGUGUGCCAGGAACUGUUCUAAGUGCUUUAUAUGCACCAAGAGUUUAAUUGGCCAGGUCUCUAGUUCUAGAGGCCAUGCUCCAACCAAGACAUUAUAGUUGCUUGCCACUCAUUCUUGCUGUGUAUUUUCAAUCCUGGAGAUAAAACUGUCCAGUUUUCUCCUUCCAGAGAAGGCUGAUUCAAACUGAAACAGGUCCAUGAUCUGCCUUUUUAGUAAUAACCUACAUGAAUAAAUUGAGACAUUGCUAAGUCAAUGUUUGUAACUUGGUUUCUUACUCAGAUCCUGUGGAUUUUAAAGUCUGGGAUCUUAUCCAUUGCAUAUCUCUGAUUUUGUAAGAUUUCCUGGAUAUUUUAGUGUCCCUCAUUUAGUGCUUUUAUUGCUUCUGUUAACUCCCUAAUGGUGAUCAGCAAUAAAAAACUUUAAACUGUAUUUUUUAUGGGGAGCCAUAUAGUGGGAAUCUAGGCAGACAGUCCAUACUUUGCAGAUGGACUUGAGAAGAUAGCCUCAGAAUUAAUGUAGAUAAAGCAAAUGUGGUGGGCAAAAUAAUGCCCCUCCAAAAAGACAUUAGGUGUUGCUAUGAUGCUAGUUUUGAAGAUGAGGAAGGGGUCAUGAACCAGGAAAUCCUGGAAGAGGGAAGGAAACAGAUUGUUCCCUAGAGCCCAAGAAGUAGCACGGCCUUGCUGAUACCUUUUAUUACUUCCUACACUCAGACCCAUUUUGGAUAUGUAACCUCCAGAACUAUAGCAGAAUAAAUUUCUGUUGUAUUAAGUCACUCAUAGCAAUAGGAACCUAGUAUAGGAAGUGAGAAGAGGAUAGAACAGCAGCAUUCUGGACCCAAGGCUGAUGGCAGUCUAGGGAUGGAAAGUAAAUCAGUGCCUUGUUCAGUGGGAAGGUUCUGUGCAUUCCAGUCCCUCCCAGUCCCUUUAUCAAUAGUUUGCAUUAGUACUGAGUGUGUCAAAAGGCCAGAUGGGCCCAGAGAGCUCUGAACUUGCCAGAAACACUGGUGAGAAAGCUUUGCUUAUUGCAAUAGAACAUAAAGGGUAAAGAAGGUAGAUAAAAAUAUUUUUGUACAGAAAAAAGUUUUUUUCAGGAAAAUUGUUUAUACUAUUAAACAAGGCAGAAUUGGAAAAAAAUGUGUUUGUAGAGCCAAAGAGAGGAAUGCUAUAUAGUUACAUGCACAAACUGGAGAACAUGUUGCAUUUUCCACCUCCAACUUGUAGCUAUGUCUUUCUCAGUAUUUUAAGUAUUUUGUAAUAGAAUGACUAUAAUCUAUGAAAUUAGAACUUUGGAAAUUUAAUUUUUUUAAAGUUUUAAAAUUGUGAUUAUUUUUGUCUGUGCCCAUGGCGUGUGGACAUUCUGGGGCCAAGGAUCGAACCCACACAUAGCAGCAACAAUGCCAGAUCCUUAACUUGCUGAGCCACCAAGGAACUUCCUAAUUUUAUUAUUACUAUGAUGAUGAUGAUGAUGAUGAUGAUGAUGAUGAUGAUGAUUUUCUUUUUAGGGCUGUGCCCGUGGCAUAUGGAAGUUCCCAGGCUAGGGGUUGAAUCAGAGCUAUAGCUCCCGGCCUAUGAUACAGCCACAACAAUGUGGGAUCUGAGCCACAUCUGCAGUCUACACCACAGCUCAGGGCAACGCUGUAUCCCUGACUCACUGAGCGAGGCCAGGGAUCAAACAGCAUCCUCAUGGAUACUAGUCGGAUUCAUUUCUGCUGAGUCAUGACAGGAACUCCCCUAAUUUUAUUGUUUUAAACAAUUCAUAAGAAGAGGUGUAGGAGAAAAUGUCCAGAUAAAAAUGUAGAAAGGAGAGACCCCAGCCAUGAUGACUAAGAAAAUUCUAGCCAACUGCCCCAACCACCCCUGCCCCACACAUCUGCUUCUGUAAACUUGUUUCUGCAUCUACCACCUUGCCUGACGUCACUCUGGUCCAACUAGCCAAGCAUGGACCCGGAAGUGGUAGCCCAUAAAAGCCUUGUGAAACCUUUCUUCAGGGUUCAGACUCCGGAGAGCGAUCUCCUCUGAGCCUGCCAGCGUAAUAAACCUGAGUUCUCCAACUCUUCGAGUGCUCCUUGGUUUCUCGCUAGGUAAAAGAGCUCAUAUGCUGCAGCCACAGGGCUGCUGGAACUGCUACACUAAAGCCAAAGGGCUGUCGCUAGAGCUGGUACACUACAGCCACAGGGCUGUUGCCAGAGCUGAUACGCUGUGGUGCAGGGCUGCUGGGCAGCUGCCCUGGUAACAGAAGUACAUCAGAUAGUCUUUUUUUUUUUUCCAGUUUUAAAAAUUACAGUUGAUUUACAAUGUGCCAAUUUCUGCCAUACAGCAAAGUGACCCAGUCAUGCAAAUAUAUAUAUUCUUUUUCUCAUAUCUUCCCCCAUUAUGUUUUAUCCCAAGAGAAUGGACACUUCCCUGUGCUGUAGGACCUCAAUAUAUAUCCAUUCUAAAUGUAGUAUUUGCAUCUACUAACAGAUGGUCAGUCUUAUUAAUGAAAAACUUGAAUCCCUACUCUAAUUCUCACUGUUUAUUUUAGGAAAAAAAUGAUUUAUACGACUAAAAAUAAAUUCCAAAGAUAUUCUGAGAUUUAGGAGAGAUUUAUUGGAAUGAUGACAGAGAUAUGGGACACCAAUAUUCAACUCAGAAUAUUUAAACAUAAACUCCAGUAGUAAUCAUGUAUCUAGAUUAGCAUCUCAAAGAUAGUUUAAAUAAUCACAUAUUAUUUAUAUAUUAGUAAAAUAUAUAAAUACAAAAUAUUUAUAUAAUUAUAAUAUAUGGUAUAUAUCAUAUAUUUGUGAAAGAUUUUCUAAUUUAAAUGCUUUAUUUGCUGACGAGACCAGCUCAGCAGGUGAGGGCUGAAGAACAGGUGCUAUGACCCUUAAGAAAAAAGUUAACAUAAAACAAGAAACAGAGACAUUUAUCUUAAUUAAAGGUGGGAACCAGGGUCUCAAGUUCUCAGGGACCAAGAGCCCCACCUCAAGAUACCACACUGCUUUUAUUGUGCUCUUUAGGAUUAGGUCAAGUGAGGAGGAGGUUGCAGGUACAGGAUAGAGUUCUUUUUAUUAUUUAAAAAGUUCUUCUAUUAUUUUAAAAGUCACAUAGCUGGUAGAUGGUUAAGCUUUUAUUCUGACCUUUAGGCAUUUAAUAACCAUUAGCACUGAGGAAGCUUGGCGUUAACUACCUAUGCAUAGCAUCUAGAGAAUCAUCAUUGUGCUUGGGCAAAGGGCAUGCCUAUCUGCAGCAACCCUGUGUGCCUAGGUUUGCACCUCGGUUCUCUUUGCUGAUGCAUAUUCUCCUAACUACCCCUCAUAAACCCCUUGGGGCCAUGAGGCUCAUCUUCCUCUUAUUCUUAAGAGGACAUAUCAUGCUGUGCAAAUGGCAUGCCUAUCUGCACAGGUCCAGCAUGCCUAGACCAAUGCAUUAUGUCCUCACCCAGCUGACCAUAUGAAUAACUUAUGCCUUUAGGUCUUUGUUCUUAAGCCUAAAUCAUUUACUGGCACUGUGACUGUUUUCCAAGCAGGAAUAUGGGGUAAAGGUAAAGCAGGACAAGAUGGAGUUUUCAGCAUAGAAAAUAGAAGCAGGAGUUCCCGUCGUGGUGCAGUGAUUGACGAAUCCGACUAGGAACCAUAAGGUUGCGGGUUGGAUCCCUGGCCUUGAUCGUCAGGUUAAGGAUCCGGCGUUGCCAUGAGCUGUGGUGUAGGUUGCAGACGUGGCUUGGAUCCUGCGUUGCUGUGGCUCUGGCGUGGGCCAGCGGCUACAGCUCCGAUUAGACCCCUAGCCUGGGAACCUCCAUAUGCUGUGAGAGCGGCCCAAGAAAUAGC
Molecule: long non-coding RNA, 5596 nt
Filed under: Sus scrofa (pig)
Lineage: Eukaryota; Metazoa; Chordata; Mammalia; Artiodactyla; Suidae
Description: lncRNA (ENSSSCG00000051927.1)
Source: RNAcentral